GAUGAACGCUGGCGGCGUGCCUAAUACAUGCAAGUCGAGCGAACGGACGAGAAGCUUGCUUCUCUGAUGUUAGCGGCGGACGGGUGAGUAACACGUGGAUAACCUACCUAUAAGACUGGGAUAACUUCGGGAAACCGUAGCUAAUACCGGAUAAUAUUUUGAGCCGCAUGGUUCAAAAGUGAAAGACGGUCUUGCUGUCACUUAUAGAUGGAUCCGCGCUGCAUUAGCUAGUUGGUAAGGUAACGGCUUACCAAGGCAACGAUGCAUAGCCGACCUGAGAGGGUGAUCGGCCACACUGGAACUGAGACACGGUCCAGACUCCUACGGGAGGCACCAGUAGGGAAUCUUCCGCAAUGGGCGAAAGCCUGACGGAGCAACGCCGCGUGAGUGAUGAAGGUCUUCGGAUCGUAAAACUCUGUUAUUAGGGAAGAACAUAUGUGUAAGUAACUGUGCACAUCUUGACGGUACCUAAUCAGAAAGCCACGGCUAACUACGUG
RNAcentral lists this ribosomal RNA (497 nucleotides) under uncultured bacterium. RNAcentral describes it as "partial 16S ribosomal RNA". It matches the Rfam family "Bacterial small subunit ribosomal RNA", at positions 28 to 507 of the family's 1533-position model. The record is from RNAcentral.